UACGUAGGGUCCGAGCGUUGUCCGGAAUUACUGGGCGUAAAGAGCUCGUAGGUGGUUUGUCGCGUUGUUCGUGAAAACUCACAGCUUAACUGUGGGCGUGCGGGCGAUACGGGCAGACUUGAGUACUGCAGGGGAGACUGGAAUUCCUGGUGUAGCGGUGAAAUGCGCAGAUAUCAGGAGGAACACCGGUGGCGAAGGCGGGUCUCUGGGUAGUAACUGACGCUGAGGAACGAAAGCGUGGGUAGCGAACAGG
RNAcentral lists this ribosomal RNA (253 nucleotides) under uncultured bacterium. Its description in RNAcentral is "partial 16S ribosomal RNA". It matches the Rfam family "Bacterial small subunit ribosomal RNA", at positions 524 to 776 of the family's 1533-position model. The record is from RNAcentral.